AUUGAACGCUGGCGGCAGGCCUAACACAUGCAAGUCGAGCGGAUGAAGGGAGCUUGCUCCUGGAUUCAGCGGCGGACGGGUUAGUAAUGCCUAGGAAUCUGCCUGGUAGUGGGGGAUAACGUCCGGAAACGGGCGCUAAUACCGCAUACUUCCUGAGGGAGAAAGUGGGGGAUCUUCGGACCUCACGCUAUCAGAUGAGCCUAGGUCGGAUUAGCUAGUUGGUGGGGUAAAGGCCUACCAAGGCGACGAUCCGUAACUGGUCUGAGAGGAUGAUCAGUCACACUGGAAGGGAGACACGGUCCAGACUCCUACGGGAGGCAGCUGUGGGGAAUAGUGGACAAUGGGCGAAAGCAUGAUCCAGCCAUGCCGCGGGUGUGAGGAAGGUCUUCGGAGUGGAAAGCACGUUAGGGUGGGAGGAAGGGAAGGAAGUUAAUACCGUGAUGGUGAGACGGUACCAACAGAAUAAGCACCGGCUAACUUCGUG
This 484-nucleotide ribosomal RNA is filed under the name uncultured bacterium. Its description in RNAcentral is "partial 16S ribosomal RNA". It matches the Rfam family "Bacterial small subunit ribosomal RNA", at positions 29 to 507 of the family's 1533-position model. The record is from RNAcentral.